AACGAACGCUGGCGGCAUGCCUAACACAUGCCAGUCGAACGAGACCUUCGGGUCUAGUGGCGCACGGGUGCGUAACGCGUGGGAACCUGCCCUUAGGUUCGGAAUAACUCCCCGAAAGGGGUGCUAAUACCGGAUAAUGUCUUCGGACCAAAGAUUUAUCGCCUUUGGAUGGGCCCGCGUUGGAUUAGCUAGUUGGUAGGGUAAAAGCCUACCAAGGCGACGAUCCAUAGCUGGUCUGAGAGGAUGAUCAGCCACACUGGGACUGAGACACGGCCCAGACUCCUACGGGAGGCAGCAGUGGGGAAUAUUGGACAAUGGGCGAAAGCCUGAGCCAGCAAUGCCGCGUGAGUGAUGAAGGCCUUAGGGUUGUAAAGCUCUUUUACCCGGGAUGAUAAUGACAGUACCGGGAGAAUAAGCUCCGGCUAACUCCGUG
RNAcentral lists this ribosomal RNA (433 nucleotides) under uncultured bacterium. RNAcentral's name for it is "partial 16S ribosomal RNA". It matches the Rfam family "Bacterial small subunit ribosomal RNA", at positions 29 to 507 of the family's 1533-position model. The record is from RNAcentral.